CACUACCGUGAAUACGUUCCCGGGUCUUGUACACACCGCCCGUCAAGCCACGAAAGUCGCCAAUACCCGACGUCCGAGCCUCGUCUCGGCCUAAGGUAGGGGAGAUAAUUGGGGUU
Molecule: ribosomal RNA, 116 nt
Filed under: uncultured bacterium
Lineage: Bacteria
Description: partial 16S ribosomal RNA
Rfam family: Bacterial small subunit ribosomal RNA
Source: RNAcentral